GACGAACGCUGGCGGCGCGCCUAACACAUGCAAGUCGAACGGUGACGAGAGCUUCGGCUCUCUGAUCAGUGGCGGACGGGUGAGUAACACGUGAGCAACCUGCCUAUCAGAGGGGGACAACAGUUGGAAACGACUGCUAAUACCGCAUAACGUGCUCGGAAGGCAUCUUCUGGGUACCAAAGAUUUAUCGCUGAUAGAUGGGCUCGCGUCUGAUUAGAUAGUUGGCGGGGUAACGGGCCCACCAAGUCGACGAUCAGUAGCCGGACUGAGAGGUUGAACGGCCGACAUUGGGACUGAGACACGGCCCAGACUCUACGGAGGCAGCAGUGGGGGAUAGUUGGGCAAUGGGCGAAAGCCUGACCCAGCGACGCCGCGUGAGGAAGAAGAUACUUCGGAUU
RNAcentral lists this ribosomal RNA (398 nucleotides) under uncultured bacterium. Its description in RNAcentral is "bacterial SSU rRNA". It matches the Rfam family "Bacterial small subunit ribosomal RNA", at positions 28 to 424 of the family's 1533-position model. The record is from RNAcentral.